RNAcentral lists this ribosomal RNA (508 nucleotides) under uncultured bacterium. Its description in RNAcentral is "partial 16S ribosomal RNA". It matches the Rfam family "Bacterial small subunit ribosomal RNA", at positions 28 to 523 of the family's 1533-position model. The record is from RNAcentral.
GACGAACGCUGACGGCGUGCUUUAGACAUGCAAGUCGAACGAGAGAGCCCUUCGGGGUUAGUAAAGUGGCGAACGGGUGAGUAACACGUGGGCAAUCUGCCCUUCGUUGGGGGACAACCGGGGGAAACCCCGGCUAAUACCCCGUAAGCUUGUCGGGUCGCAUGGCCUGACAAGGAGAGGUAGCUUCGGCCAUCCGGCGAAGGAGGAGCCCGCGGUACAUUAGCUAGUUGGUGAGGUAAAGGCCCACCAAGGCGACGAUGUAUAGCUGGUCUGAGAGGAUGAUCAGCCACACUGGGACUGAGACACGGCCCAGACUCCUACGGGAGGUAGCAGUCGGGAAUCUUGCACAAUGGGCGAAAGCCUGAUGCAGCAACGCCGUGUGAGCGACGAAGGCCCUAGGGUCGUAAAGCUCUGUUGUUAGGGACGAAGGGCGAAGGGUUAAUAGCCCUUAGCCUGACGGUACCUUUCGAGGAAGCCCCGGCUAACUACGUGCCAGCAGCCGCGGUAA